CUUUACUCAAAGAGUCAUUUCAUGGGCCAAGUGAAGCACUCGGCGAGCGUUCCAACCUCAAGCUUUCUCCCAUCAUGUUUGUACAAACGUGUUUAUGUGUUAAAGUGUUAGUCCGCUUGGCUGCUGUGGAUAUGUAAGCCUACACAAUCUGUGGAAUGAAAAGUGAAGGGAUACAGACAUUUAGACGACAUUUAGAAAACCAUCGGAGAGCUCGGACUGCUGACA
Etheostoma spectabile (orangethroat darter) is the source of this 225-nucleotide long non-coding RNA. RefSeq lists it as uncharacterized. NCBI's taxonomy places the organism in Eukaryota, Metazoa, Chordata, Actinopteri, Perciformes, Percidae. The transcript is spliced from 3 exons. The record is from RefSeq and is a predicted model, not a curated record.